This 84-nucleotide transfer RNA is filed under the name Candidatus Woesearchaeota archaeon. RNAcentral's name for it is "tRNA-Val". It matches the Rfam family "tRNA". From Rfam's summary of the family: Transfer RNA (tRNA) molecules are approximately 80 nucleotides in length. Their secondary structure includes four short double-helical elements and three loops (D, anti-codon, and T loops). The record is from RNAcentral. Lineage: Archaea; Nanobdellati; Candidatus Woesearchaeota.
GCCGGCGUCGCUUAACCAGGUAUAGCGAGGAGUUCACACCUCCUUGCCCGGAAGGGCUUCUGGGUUCAAAUCCCAGCGCCGGCG